ACUGACUGACAUACAGGUGUUGUCAUGUCUGGAGAGGAUAUCUGGAAAUGUCAGAGCCAUCUUGCCAUCAGCCUGAGGAUGCAGCCAGCGACUGAGGAUGGAGGAACACAAAACGGUCAGGAAGAUGCUGCCAGCAUGACAGCUGCCCAGCACCCAUUAGGCUGGUCAUCAGGCAAUGGACUGUGGAGUCUGGAGCACGGUGGAGCAUGCCCAGCAGUCACCACCGCCCAGAGAGAAUGCCUCCACUUCUCUGCACUCCAGCACACGAGUGUGUUUAUCAGCAGAAGCUCAACCUCAUCUAGAUCCCUAGCAGAAAGGGAGUCGGGAAAAUAUGGUUUUAUGUCUUUCCAGCCCCUGUGAUCCAUAGGGGAGCAUAGAAAAAUGUGGAAAUAGAAGCUUAGGACCAAAGGGCAGUAUCUAGCACUCCUUUCUACCUCACUGGAUCUAACAGAAACCAGAGACCUUCCACCAUCUCUUUGCAAUUACUCUCUUAAUUCUUUCUCUUAAUUUUUUUAAGCUCUUUAUUGGAAUAUAAUUGCUUUACACUCUUGUACUAGUUUUUGAGGUACACCAGAUCUCUUAAUUUUUAAUGUCAUUUUUCCUCUUUUAUGUUUCCCAUCAUUGUUGAAAAACCUAUUCAGAAGGAUGUAUUUGCAGAAGUCUAAAUGGGCUGGGAGAGUAGAGUGGAAAAAAGAAAGUGGUAAGAUGCAGUGCAAACCAAAUAUAUUCUAUUUCAGUGAUCUAUUUGAAUGAGUUGUAGUCAUGUAGAGACGUUUGAGAUUGUGAGAAAGGAAGGCAAACAGAGCCUGACUAUCCCCAGAAAAGUCUGGAUUUUGGCAGCUGGGAGUGGUUGGAGUGGGCACGUGUGGGUUGGAGAUUGGGUGCAGGGUGAACAAGGGUUAAAGACAAGGGCUCACAAGGAAUCUGCCGCUCAGGGAUGGGACGUGACCCCACAAAGUGAGAGGAAGACUGGCAGUGGUCACGCUCAGAGGAACAGAGCUGAGGACUUGAGCAGAAUAAGCUGCAGCUUGAUUGGCAAGUCAAAGUUGAAAUCGAGUCCUUUGGGAGAGAGAAUUUGGAGUCAAGGUCUGGGAUUGCUCCAGGGACUCAGUGUGAGUGCCAGCCCUCAGCUGUCUCUGAUUUGAGGUGGCAUAGUGUGCAGGGAAGCCUUCUAUAAUCAGAGGGCCCUGCUUGUAUCAUUUCUCUGAAGCUACUUCUGUGGAUAGGUGUGGGGUUCUGUCAGACAACGGCUGAUUUCCAAGGUCCCAAGAACUUUGUGGUUUAGCUCUUUCCCCAGGGCUCAGGUGAGAUGUUCUGCUGAGAGACAGCUUGAUUAGGAGUCAAAGUUGUGCGAAAGGCUCAGGACUUUUUUUCCCCUUCUCUCUCUCUCUCUCUCAUUCUCUCUCCCCUCCUUCCUGCUUCUCUCCCUUGGCUCCCCCCCUCCCCCCUUGCCUUGCUUCCUUCCUUCUUUCUUUUUAAACAUCAGAUGGGAUCUUUUCCCCACGUGGAAGGCUACUGAACCCUUGGGUAGGUAAGUACACUGGGUCUGAGAGGUCAGGGCUAAGGGCAGGGACAGGAGCCGCUUAGUGCCAAGACACCUUCCUAAUGGACAUGACUCCUCAGCUCUCUUCGGUCUCUUUUUAACACCCCAGAGAGCAGCUGCUGUGUGACUCUCAGGCUUGCUGGUUAUUCUCCAGGGCAUCAGAGUGCAGCGUGAAGGCAGCGAAGCGACUGAUUUUAUUCCUGCCGGGAUCAGGGCACUUUCACUGCUCGGUGGCCCCAGACUGCUCCCCUUGGCUCGUCUACAGCUGUGGGCUAUUGAUUCCAAGAAGGAUCCGAUGGGCCUCACCAGAUCCAUUGGCAAUGUUGGAAAACUAUCACCUCAGGAGCAGCAGUGUGCCCCAACUGUCCUUUUCACAUAUGAAGGACUAAACAUUUUUCUAUGCCAGUGAUUUUCAAAUUAUCUUAGUCUUUAAAUUCCUUUUUCUUCUCUUCCAAAUGCAAUCUUACUUGGGAACUCCAUAUAAAAAUUAAAUAGAAAAGGAACUCUUCUGAUUGACUAUUGGUUGAGUUCAGACACCCACGUAUUCAUCCCCUCUCUCCUUUGACUAUGUCCAAAAUUUUUCUAGAAUUUUAAAACACUGUAUUAGGUGUUCUUUAAUGCUGGUUGGUAUGCUUACUCAGUUUUAAGGAGAAAUAAACUGAGGCACAAAGGGGCUAAAGAACUUUCUUUGCCAAGAUCAUGCCAUGAGUUUGAAUUAGUCAGGAACUGUACUUGGCUGAUCUGAAAAUUGGUUUAAAUAAGAUAGGGCUUUAUCUUCCUCUCAUCUAACAAGAAGUGGACAGUGUAGGGCUGAUGUGGUGCCAUGAAGUUUUGGGGGACCCAAGCUCCUGGCAGCUUGCCAUCCCACAAUCCCUACGAUAGAUCGUCAUCUCAUAUUUAUAGUACGGCUUCUGGAGCUCCAGCCAUCUGGUUAGCAUCUGGAAGAUGUGGAAAGAGGAAGGACAGAAGGAUCCUGUCAGCUGAGUCAGUCCCUGUAAAGGGGGCUUUCUAAAAUGCCUCAAUGACUUCUACUUACAUCUCAAGUAAGUCUUAAAAAAGUUUAGGAUGGGAAUCCUGUCACUCCCAGCAAUAUAGGAGCUCUGGCAGUGAGGAAGGGGAGAAUCUACAUCGCGUGGGGAACUAGUCGUCUGCCACAAACAUGAUGCCCAUACUCUCUGAUGUGCACGUAUCCUGAUUCGACCUGAUUGCAAACAGUCUGCCUACAAAGUCAGUACUUCAGCACUUAAAUGUAUGUUCUUCCUAUUCAGAAAAGGCUCAAAUAUCGUUUGCUAGGGUCACGUGUCCUGAAUUUAAUUCAGAAAAUGAAGUAACCUAAUAAACAAAAUAA
Molecule: long non-coding RNA, 2891 nt
Organism: Hippopotamus amphibius kiboko
Lineage: Eukaryota; Metazoa; Chordata; Mammalia; Artiodactyla; Hippopotamidae
Exons: 3
Source: RefSeq, a predicted model, not a curated record